AAUAGAUACCCUGGUAGUCCACGCCGUAAACGGUGGGCACUAGGUGUGGGCGACAUUCCACGUCGUCCGUGCCGCAGCUAACGCAUUAAGUGCCCCGCCUGGGGAGUACGGCCGCAAGGCUAAAACUCAAAGGAAUUGACGGGGGCCCGCACAAGCGGCGGAGCAUGUGGCUUAAUUCGACGCAACGCGAAGAACCUUACCAAGGCUUGACAUACACCGGAAACGUCCAGAGAUGGGCGCCCCCUUGUGGUCGGUGUACAGGUGGUGCAUGGCUGUCGUCAGCCCGUGUCGUGAGAUGUUGGGUUAAGUCCCGCAACGAGCGCAACCCUUGUCCCGUGUUGCCAGCAGGCCCUUGUGGUGCUGGGGACUCACGGGAGACCGCCGGGGUCAACUCGGAGGAAGGUGGGGACGACGUCAAGUCAUCAUGCCCCUUAUGUCUUGGGCUGCACACGUGCUACAAUGGCCGGUACAAUGAGCUGCGAUACCGCGAGGUGGAGCGAAUCUCAAAAAGCCGGUCUCAGUUCGGAUUGGGGUCUGCAACG
RNAcentral lists this ribosomal RNA (542 nucleotides) under uncultured bacterium. RNAcentral describes it as "bacterial SSU rRNA". It matches the Rfam family "Bacterial small subunit ribosomal RNA", at positions 777 to 1312 of the family's 1533-position model. The record is from RNAcentral.